UUAAUGAUACGGUUUCUCACACACGUUCUCUUCUUCUUCCUCACGUUCUCCCCCAAUCUCUCUGAAGCAAUUAUUAUCCUGCACCAAAUUUGGCAGUUUAUUUCAAAAAAUCGUGUGAUAUAGUGAUCAGUUAUUUUAAGAAGAAUCAUUUAUAUCUUCUUCAUAUAAAAGUUUCUGCGACGAGGCUCAUCCCGUUCUUCUGAAGAGAAAGACUCUAGGUUUUCUGCAGCAACAACAGGGAAUGGGAACCGAGAGUACACUAACUAUGUAGUUUUUACCGCUCCAUUCAUUCUCUUUUCUCCAUAAUUUUAUCAGUACGUGAUUUUCUUCUUCUUCUUCUGGAUUCAAUCCAUUACAAAAAAAAAGUGUGAGUAAAAUUGUGGAUUAUAAUCCGGCCCAGCCGAUGCAAAUUUCUCAUGAGUUAUCUACUAUAAUUGCGGCCAAAACCUUUGGUCAUAAACACGUCAAUCCUUUUACCGAUAAAUUCCUCGCCAAUCGCCACAUGUUUCAAUUUUAUGAUUUUAGGAUUUGAAGUUUUGUUUGGCCUUUUCAUUUGUUAAAGGCCAAUUGAUUAUUUGCGAAAUUGAAUUUGAUGAAAUCUUUUAUGGAAUUAUAUAGCGGAAACUUUAUGGAAAUUGGUUUAAAUAAAUGUUGCAACUAUUUUAUUGUUAAAAAUUUCGAAGUCUCUUUUAGCAUUUAUCUUGAAUGAGUUUUGCACGAAGGAGCAGUGUAUGUGUGCUUAUGUAUUGUUUUGAUUGAUUGGUAAAAGUUUGCUGCUUAAAUAUUGAUGGCAUUGCUUAUUGACUUUGUUGUGCGCGGAUUUAUUGAUGUUUUUGGUUCUCAAAUUAGAUCACGCAUCUAUGGUGAUAAAAUAAAAAUGUCUUUUUAGUUGCAAUCUAUUGUUGAAUGCUUGAAUAGUUGACUAGCAGGAGCCUUUGUUUAUGAGUAUUAGUAUGAGAAAGGCGGUAAUACUUAACAUAAGUAGUUGAAAAUUAAUGUGUACAAUGAUGAAGAACAAUAGCUCCAACAUUGUAACUUAGGACUGUAAUUUUGGUAACUGUCGCGCUCGCAAAUACUCUAUUCUUUGUGAUGCUAGCUUGAUGAAAUUAAGAUUAUGUAGCUGUAUUUUGCAGCCUUGUGUAUGACUCAGAAAAGGCGGCGUCAUUGGAGAUGGACAAAGUUCAUGAUUCUUCUAACUCAUUAUGUGUGUGUGUGUGUGUCUGUCUGUGUGUGUGUGUGUUCGUUUUUUGUCAGUUGUUUAGGAUAUACUGCCAUUAUAAGUUCUCUGAUAAACAUUUCAAUUUUGUUUUUGCUGGGGAUGUGAGGCGAAUAAGUAAUCUUGAAUCUCUUUUCUUUCAUGAUAAACCUAUUCCUGAGGAAAUAAUUGAGAAGCGUAUUGGGCUUGCCUUGGGUGAGAAAAAUGUUGGAGUAAAUCCUCUAUGCCUUGUCUGCAACUAAGUUCUUUUUUUUAUUUGUUAUUAUUUCUGUUGAUGAAUAGAGCAGCUACUGUUGCAAUGGGUGAAGGGAUGGCAAUUCGUGAAGGUCUCUUGGUGGUGAAGAAUAAAGGAUUCUAAGGCUUGGUGGUUGAGACUGACUGCAGGAGCUUAUUUUCAAAAUUCAAACUUCAACUUCUGGAUUUCUCACCCCUUGAAUUUUUGUUGGAAGAUAUUAGCUAGAGAGCUUGCGAUAGAAGUAGAUGUUCGUGGGAGUUAGGUUAGGCGGUCCUAUAUCUCUUUAGCAGAUCAGCUUACAAAGUUUGCUCUCUCUAGCUGUUCUGAUUUUUAUUUCUCUGGUGUCCUGCCAGAAUUUGUGAAUUGUUCCCAUUAGAAAUGAAUUUUUCAUUGAUCUCAAAAAAAAAAAAAAAAAAUACUAAUAAUCUCAAGGGUGGUUACUAAGGCAUCUUGGCUAUAGGAUUGUAUUCUUCUGCUUUAUGGAUUUUCCUUUUUCCGUGA
Molecule: long non-coding RNA, 1952 nt
Organism: Salvia miltiorrhiza (redroot sage)
Lineage: Eukaryota; Viridiplantae; Streptophyta; Magnoliopsida; Lamiales; Lamiaceae
Exons: 2
Source: RefSeq, a predicted model, not a curated record